UGUCUGACACCUGUGUAUUGGAAGGUCGGAGAGGGCUGUUGUGGGUGCUGUGGUGUGCCUCGCCGCCUGAAGGGUCUGAAGGGCUACCCAGCUCCGGAGUUUUGGGGGUUCAGCUGAGGCCUCUGUGGUCACUGAAUUGCAGCUCCACAUUCCCCUCAGCCCUGGCUCCCCCAAGAGGCCUCCCUCCCAGAGUGCCCCACCAGUGACAGAAGUGACCCAUCCGAGGUCAUAAGUCAUUCUACUUUUGGAAACCUGUCCCAAGGAGACGUUCUCUCAUAUGAACAUUUCAGUUGCAGAGAUGAGUGUUUCUAGUAACAAAAAUUUGCAACAACUUUAAGAGCCAAUGAUGGGAGAUGGCUGCAUGGAUGAUGGCAUGCUCACAGGGAUUCUGUGUGUUUUAAGGUGUGUUUUACACCCCGGGAGGAUGGAAGUGCUGCCAGCCUGGAGGAGUGGGCCCUGGAGAGGGACUUCUCAGGUGGAUUUUGGUGCAGGUGGGGCUGGGGACCUCUGCCAGGGCUGCCUGCUCACCCAGAUCCCAGAGGGCCAGCUGGAGAUGCAGGUCUUCAGGCCUUGGUCAAGAUCUGGUGCAAACACA
This is a long non-coding RNA of Diceros bicornis minor, 595 nucleotides long. RefSeq lists it as uncharacterized. The transcript is spliced from 3 exons. NCBI's taxonomy places the organism in Eukaryota, Metazoa, Chordata, Mammalia, Perissodactyla, Rhinocerotidae. The record is from RefSeq and is a predicted model, not a curated record.